GGGUGAGUAACACGUGGGCAACCUGCCCAAAAGAGGGGGAUAACACUUGGAAACAGGUGCUAAUACCGCAUAACCAUAGUUACCGCAUGGUAACUAUGUAAAAGGUGGCUAUGCUACCGCUUUUGGAUGGGCCCGCGGCGCAUUAGCUAGUCGGUGGGGUAAAGGCUUACCAAGGCAAUGAUGCGUAGCCGAACUGAGAGGUUGAUCGGCCACAUUGGGACUGAGACACGGCCCAAACUCCUACGGGAGGCAGCAGUAGGGAAUCUUCCACAAUGGGCGAAAGCCUGAUGGAGCAACGCCGCGUGGGUGAAGAAGGUCUUCGGAUCGUAAAACCCUGUUGUUAGAGAAGAAAGUGCGUGAGAGUAACUGUUCACGUUUCGACGGUAUCUAACCAGAAAGCCACGGCUAACUACGUGCCAGCAGCCGCGGUAAUACGUAGGUGGCAAGCGUUAUCCGGAUUUAUUGGGCGUAAAGGGAACGCAGGCGGUCUUUUAAGUCUGAUGUGAAAGCCUUCGGCUUAACCGGAGUAGUGCAUUGGAAACUGGGAGACUUGAGUGCAGAAGAGGAGAGUGGAACUCCAUGUGUAGCGGUGAAAUGCGUAGAUAUAUGGAAGAACACCAGUGGCGAAAGCGGCUCUCUGGUCUGUAACUGACGCUGAGGUUCGAAAGCGUGGGUAGCAAACAGGAUUAGAUACCCUGGUAGUCCACGCCGUAA
RNAcentral lists this ribosomal RNA (714 nucleotides) under uncultured bacterium. RNAcentral describes it as "bacterial SSU rRNA". It matches the Rfam family "Bacterial small subunit ribosomal RNA", at positions 104 to 805 of the family's 1533-position model. The record is from RNAcentral.